RNAcentral lists this ribosomal RNA (703 nucleotides) under uncultured Bacillota bacterium. RNAcentral's name for it is "bacterial SSU rRNA". It matches the Rfam family "Bacterial small subunit ribosomal RNA", at positions 197 to 916 of the family's 1533-position model. The record is from RNAcentral. Lineage: Bacteria; Bacillati; Bacillota.
AUUGGCAAAGGAGCAAUCCGCUACAAGAUGAGCCCGCGUCUGAUUAGCUAGUUGGUGGGGUAAUGGCCUACCAAGGCUACGAUCAGUAGCCGAACUGAGAGGUUGAACGGCCACAAUGGAACUGAGAAACGGUCCAUACUCCUACGGGAGGCAGCAGUGGGGAAUAUUGCGCAAUGGGGGAAACCCUGACGCAGCGACGCCGCGUAGAGGAUGAAGGUUUUCGGAUUGUAAACUCUUGUCAACAGGGACGAAACAAGACGGUACCUGUGGAGGAAGCCCCGGCUAACUACGUGCCAGCAGCCGCGGUAAUACGUAGGGGGCAAGCAUUGUCCGGAAUUACUGGGUGUAAAGGGCGUGUAGGCGGGUAAUUAAGUCAGGUGUGAAAUUCUGGAGCUCAACUCCAGACCUGCAUCUGAAACUAAUUAUCUUGAGUGCAGUAGAGGUAAGUGGAAUUCCUAGUGUGGCAGUGAAAUGCGUAGAUAUUAGGAGGAACACCAGUGGCGAAGGCGGCUUACUGGGCUGUAACUGACGCUGAGGCGCGAAAGCGUGGGGAGCAAACAGGAUUAGAUACCCUGGUAGUCCACGCCGUAAACGAUGGAUACUAGGUGUAGGAGGUAUCGACCCCUUCUGUGCCGCAGUUAACACAAUAAGUAUCCCACCUGGGGAGUACGGCCGCAAGGUUGAAACUCAAAUGAAUUGACGG